AGUGACAAAGUACAAAACCGUUCAUUCUUCUAAUGUGUAUAAUGACUACAUCACGUUGUUUGUUCUGUAUUCUACCGGAAGAAGUGAAAAAACGCAACCCACUGCGUCAUUUGAGUCAGAGCGCAUCCUGCUCCUCCCAUUUGGUUCGAGGGUGAGAACACGAUGCAGUUAUUUAUGAGGAGGCUGAUUUAACUUCCAAAAAGGGGUCCUGGCUCGACCCAAGUCGAUAUGAACAUGCCAGCAUGGCAUGCAUGGCAGCCUGCAAGUAAGGAGCGGGAGGUGAAUACGACUGGAGCGUUAAUACAACAAUUUUAUCUGUAUUAGGUAUGCGGGGAGGACGUCCCAAAAAGAAGACAGCAGCAGUGGAGAAUGUGGAGAUGGAUUCUAUGGAAGAGGAGCUCAUUGCAGAUGCUAGUGGUGUGUCCAUUGCCCCAACUAAACUCCUGGCAAACAAAAAAAAUGCAGACGAGUUGGAGCUCUAUAAGCUGAAGACAGCCUGGCAACAGGAGAGGAUUGAUGAACUGACCGGGAGAGAGAUUUUCUGAGAGAACAGUUGGCAGCAGCUCUUAAGAAAGAUGGUGCAGCAUCCACCUCCACCCUGAACGAGGCACCCAACUCCUCCCAGAAACGCAAGACUUCACGUUCCUCUUCUGAUGAUUCAGUGGAAUCGUCCUCCAGCAGUGAGAGUGAGUCUGAGUCGGAGUCUGACUCUGUCUCUCCCGACUCGUCUCCGGACAAAAGAAGAACAAGAAGAAGACAGGGAAAGGGAAAAAGAAAGUGAAGAAGUCGAAGGAAAAGGAGAUGAGCCCAAAGGCACGCCAGAGAGCCCUGAAUCCGAAGCAGGCAGUGCUCAGGUAUCAAAAAAUACUAAAGGUAUUCCGUAAAGGAGGGACCGUGGGUGCUGCGUUCUCAACCGUUGGUGUAGAUCGUAACACAGUGGUGGCCACUGCACCCAUUGCUGAGCUUUUUAUCGCUGCACCAAACAGGUACAAGGAGAUCUUAGAUGGGCACAAAACUGAUCGUGUAAAACUAGCAGUGUUGGCUUCUGAGUGAGAGGAUUCUGCUAUAAAGGAGAAUGUGAAAACACUUAAAAACAACAACAAGCUGCUGCCCCUCACCAAGAAGUGAGUUUGGGUCAAACAGAAUCAGACAGCCACCUACUUCUGAUGUGUGUCUGCCCUAAAGAGAGAGUUCACCAGUUUACUUGAAAUGUUAAGAUUGUGUAUUUGAAAGAGCUUGUAUUUUAUUAUAUUUUCUAUUUUAUACUAUCACAGACUGUUAUUACUUGAAAAUGUUUGUCAAGUGUACUUGAAAAUUUAAAGGUUGCAUUUGUUUAAAACGUGUAUUGUAUUGUUUGGGACCAAUAAAACUGACAUUUUGU
This is a long non-coding RNA of Salarias fasciatus (jewelled blenny), 1381 nucleotides long. The record is from Ensembl. NCBI's taxonomy places the organism in Eukaryota, Metazoa, Chordata, Actinopteri, Blenniiformes, Blenniidae.